UGCGUCCCCCAGAAUAUGACCCUUUUUUUAUUAUUAAAAUAGCGCAGAAUUUUUAUAUGACAUUUUUAGAAUACGUGCACGAAUCAACUUACGCUCUCUGUAAUUAUUUAUAAGUUCGCUUAUUCACAUGAAAGUGGAAGAUGGAACUUGCGACCCGCAACACGUACAAUUGCUAGCACACGUUGUCGUUGCAGCGUGGAAAUCAUGAUACGCAUUGAUCUCGCCAGUUUGGCAUAGUGGGAUGCCGAUGUUUG
Molecule: long non-coding RNA, 254 nt
Filed under: Ananas comosus (pineapple)
Lineage: Eukaryota; Viridiplantae; Streptophyta; Magnoliopsida; Poales; Bromeliaceae
Description: long non-coding RNA (ACOM_LNC004828)
Source: RNAcentral